This 332-nucleotide ribosomal RNA is filed under the name uncultured bacterium. RNAcentral describes it as "bacterial SSU rRNA". It matches the Rfam family "Bacterial small subunit ribosomal RNA", at positions 568 to 898 of the family's 1533-position model. The record is from RNAcentral.
CUCGUAGGCGGCCAACUAAGUCAGACGUGAAAUCCCUCGGCUUAACCGGGGAACUGCGUCUGAUACUGGAUGGCUUGAGAUUGGGAGAGGGAUGCGGAAUUCCAGGUGUAGCGGUGAAAUGCGUAGAUAUCUGGAGGAACACCGGUGGCGAAGGCGGCAUCCUGGACCAAUACUGACGCUGAGGAGCGAAAGCCAGGGGAGCAAACGGGAUUAGAUACCCCGGUAGUCCUGGCCCUAAACGAUGAAUGCUUGGUGUGGCGGGUAUCGAUCCCUGCCGUGCCGAAGCUAACGCAUUAAGCAUUCCGCCUGGGGAGUACGGUCGCAAGGCUGAA